CGAGUGGCGAACGGGUGAGUAACACGUGGGUGAUCUGCCCUGCACUUCGGGAUAAGCCUGGGAAACUGGGUCUAAUACCGGAUAGGAGCCAUUUUUAGUGUGAUGGUUGGAAAGUUUUUUCGGUGUAGGAUGAGCUCGCGGCCUAUCAGCUUGUUGGUGGGGUAAUGGCCUACCAAGGCGGCGACGGGUAGCCGGCCUGAGAGGGUGGACGGCCACAUUGGGACUGAGAUACGGCCCAGACUCCUACGGGAGGCAGCAGUGGGGAAUAUUGCACAAUGGGCGCAAGCCUGAUGCAGCGACGCCGCGUGGGGGAUGACGGCCUUCGGGUUGUAAACUCCUUUCGCUAGGGACGAAGCUUUUUGUGACGGUACCUAGAUAAGAAGCACCGGCUAACUACGUGCCAGCAGCCGCGGUAAUACGUAGGGUGCGAGCGUUGUCCGGAAUUACUGGGCGUAAAGGGCUCGUAGGUGGUUUGUCGCGUCGUCUGUGAAAUUCCGGGGCUUAACUCCGGGCGUGCAGGCGAUACGGGCAUAACUUGAGUACUGUAGGGGUAACUGGAAUUCCUGGUGUAGCGGUGAAAUGCGCAGAUAUCAGGAGGAACACCGAUGGCGAAGGCAGGUUACUGGGCAGUUACUGACGCUGAGGAGCGAAAGCA
Molecule: ribosomal RNA, 655 nt
Filed under: uncultured Actinomycetales bacterium
Lineage: Bacteria; Bacillati; Actinomycetota; Actinomycetes; Actinomycetales
Description: bacterial SSU rRNA
Rfam family: Bacterial small subunit ribosomal RNA
Source: RNAcentral